UACAGAGGGUGCAAGCGUUGUUCGGAAUUAUUGGGCGUAAAGGGCGCGUAGGCGGUGCGGUAAGUCUGUAGUGAAAUCUCUGGGCUCAACUCAGAGUCUGCUGCAGAAACUGCCGUGCUUGAGUGUGGGAGAGGUGAGUGGAAUUCCCGGUGUAGCGGUGAAAUGCGUAGAUAUCGGGAAGGAACACCUGUGGCGAAAAGCGGCUCACUGGACCACAACUGACGCUGAGGCGCGAAAGCCAGGGGAGCAAACGGG
RNAcentral lists this ribosomal RNA (255 nucleotides) under uncultured bacterium. RNAcentral's name for it is "partial 16S ribosomal RNA". It matches the Rfam family "Bacterial small subunit ribosomal RNA", at positions 524 to 776 of the family's 1533-position model. The record is from RNAcentral.